RNAcentral lists this long non-coding RNA (964 nucleotides) under Rattus norvegicus (Norway rat). RNAcentral's name for it is "long non-coding RNA NONRATT001361". Lineage: Eukaryota; Metazoa; Chordata; Mammalia; Rodentia; Muridae. The record is from RNAcentral.
CAGGAAUUAUCCCGAAAAGUUAACAUGUCACCUCCACGAGGCCAUCCUCUGUGCUGCGUGUGGACACUGGCUGACCGAAGGCAGCUGCUGCGGACCACCCUCCUCCUCCUGCUGCUGCUGCUGCUGCUGCUGGGCAGAGAGGCUAGCCCACUGUCCACCACCUCUGCCUGUUCCCUGGCAGCUCCGCAUGGCCCAAGGGAGGAGGGCCUGCCUCCCAGGGAAUUCCUCUUCUAGCCCAGCCACCCUGGAUUCCCAGUGACCAGAUCCUCAGCAGGGACAACCUGUCCACCAUCUUCCAGGGUAGGGGACCAUGGUGGGUGAAGCAGUGGGAAUGGAUUGUCCUCCACAGCGCAUUUGGAGGCCUCCUGGGCCAUUCACCUCGCCUUUUCCACACGUUGGCCUCACCAGGGCCACCUCUUCUCAUCUGCAUCCAUUGCUCCACCUUGCCAGGCUGCAGAGCUCCAGCUGUGAUGGUUCUCAUGGGCUGAAGUGGAGAUAAAAGACCUGGGUGCUCCAAAGCUGCCAGGGGCCUGGGCUGAGACCAGUAUUAUUUAUUUGCUGUUUUAAUUUAUUGAGUUUCUUUAUGUCUCUGUUCUCUGUUCAGGGAAGGGGGAGUAGCAGCAGCGCCCUCCUGCCAUCUGUCUGUCUGUUCUGUCUGUCUGACUUGGGCAGGGUGGGUCCUGAGCCCAAGUUCCCUCUGAGGACAGAGCCGUUGUGGGGCUGGGGACAGUGGGGAGCCAGCCAGUGGAUGCAGCACUGGCAAGCUACUGUAAACUUUAAAAGAAUUCCUGCAAGAUAUUUUUAUAAACUUUCUUUUCUUGGUUGUUUUUGGAAAAGGGUGUCGGGUGGGGCUGCUGGGGCAGAGCUAGGGUUUGUGUUUCGGCUCCUCGCUCUUGGCUAUUUCUAUACACAUAUACAUAUAUAUAUAUAUAUAUUUAAAGAACGAUGUGGUUAGCUCUGUCCC